This 479-nucleotide long non-coding RNA is filed under the name Homo sapiens (human). RNAcentral describes it as "HSALNT0385227". Lineage: Eukaryota; Metazoa; Chordata; Mammalia; Primates; Hominidae. The record is from RNAcentral.
GCGACAGAUCACGACUCCAUCUCAAAAUAAAUAAAUAAAUAAAUUAUACAUUGGGCUCUUUUGCCUUUUAUUCUUGUGCUUUCUAAUCACAACUAAACACUAAACUCACAUCUUGGCUUUGCAGAUCACUCUAAGCUUGGCUGCAGCUGUGGUGCUGAGGAGGCUAAUAGAGAAGCUCCCUCGCUCUCAACCCCACCCCUUCCUUCCGGGAGCAAACCCAAGUCUGGUCCCGACUCCGGAUCCCUCCCACAUUAGACCUACCACACCCUCAGGGCAGACAACAGCUCCACACACCCCACACUCAGCCACCAGGGCAAGGGAGCAAAAUUCCAGAAAGCUCAGAGCGGACUGAUGUACUGGCCCUUAGUACAGGUGCUGCCAUGGCCACGACUGUUGUUACACUCGAGCUGAGGAGGCCGGCUGCAGCCCCAAGACAGAGCGCUACUCCUGGCAGUGCGUCAAUCAGAGCGUCCUGUGCG